Molecule: ribosomal RNA, 329 nt
Filed under: uncultured bacterium
Lineage: Bacteria
Description: bacterial SSU rRNA
Rfam family: Bacterial small subunit ribosomal RNA
Source: RNAcentral
AGGGUUUGAUUCUGGCUCAGGACGAACGCUGGCGGCACGCUUAACACAUGCAAGUCGAACGGAGAACAUUGAGCUUGCUUAAUGUUCUUAGUGGCGGACGGGUGAGUAACACGUGAGUAACCUGCCUCUGAGAGUGGGAUAGCUUCUGGAAACGGAUGGUAAUACCGCAUAACAUCAUGGAUUCGCAUGUUUCUAUGAUCAAAGAUUUAUCGCUUAGAGAUGGACUCGCGUCUGAUUAGCUAGUUGGUAAGGUAACGGCUUACCAAGGCGACGAUCAGUAGCCGGACUGAGAGGUUGAUCGGCCACAUUGGGACUGAGACACGGCCCAG